This is a long non-coding RNA of Colossoma macropomum (tambaqui), 833 nucleotides long. RefSeq lists it as uncharacterized. The transcript has 5 exons. The record is from RefSeq and is a predicted model, not a curated record. NCBI's taxonomy places the organism in Eukaryota, Metazoa, Chordata, Actinopteri, Characiformes, Serrasalmidae.
UGUAUGCGCAGUUGUCCCAUUAUUUCAACUGAACUUUAAAGUGAGGGUUUCAGAAGGACCAGGAUUUUGGUGCAAACCAAAUACUUUGCUUUGUUGCAUGUCAACAAAAGGUUUAUUUCUUGGAGAUAAUAUCAGGUAUCCAUAUUUUUCUGCCCUGCUGCCUUGUCCUGAGGGUCAGCUACUACUAUUCAACCCUACUGAAAAGAACAGCCUGUAUCCCAGCCUGAUGGAGUUCAUGCAAAGAUGGGGCCAUGGUGCAGAGCUUCGUUCUAAGGGUCAGCUACUGCCUGCCUCCUCUCCUGAAACUAACCACUUGUAUCCCACCCUGGUGCUGGAGACAGAAACAACCACCACACAGAGAGUGAUGCUGACAUACAGAAGCCCUUCACUUCCCUCUCAUUAAGAUCCAGUGGUCAACUAUGGCAUGAGACGGCGGCACACAGUGGGAUCAUGGGAGAAUCAUUCAAAUACUCAGCACACAGAGGACUUUGAGUAAGUGCUGAAAAAAGUAUCUAUUAUUUCGAUAUCAAGUAUAUGUGAUGCUUUAGGCAUUAACUAUUCAUUGCUUAUGUGAUGCCUAUAAACUAGAAUUAAAUUGGUUGGGUUCCUUGAAGUGAUGCCAUAGAAUGAGGUGUAUAGUCAUAUGCAAUUGGUCAUACAUUGGUCAAGUGACAUGUUUUGUUGAUUUUCUAAGUGAUUAUAAGUUAACAUAUCCUGCACAAUUUCUAUUUGUGAGUUUAACAUAUUGGACAAAAAUAUACAACUUAAAAUGUGCCAUACAUUUUUUGCACAGGCCACAUUUUAUGCUUUAUUCAUCAGCAAAUUCAGCAACA